GCCCGCUCAGAAACUUAAAGGAAUUGACGGGGCCCGCACAAGCGGUGGAGUAUGUGGUUUAAUUCGAUGCAACGCGAAGAACCUUACCUGGUCUUGACAUCCCGGAGACCCUUAGGAAACUAGGGGGUGCUUCCAUCUGGAAGAAUCUGGAGACAGGUGCUGCAUGGCUGUCGUCAGCUCGUGUCGUGAGAUGUUGGGUUAAGUCCCGCAACGAGCGCAACCCUUGCCUUUAGUUGCCAGCAGUUCGGCUGGGCACUCUAAAGGGACUGCCGGUGUUAAACCGGAGGAAGGUGGGGAUGACGUCAAGUCCUCAUGGCCUUUAUGACCAGGGCUACACACGUACUACAAUGGCCGAUACAAAGGGCAGCGACACUGCGAGGUGAAGCCAAUCCCGUAAAAUCGGUCUCAGUCCGGAUUGGAGUCUGCAACUCGACUCCAUGAAGUUGGAAUCGCUAGUAAUCAUGGAUCAGCAUGCCACGGUGAAUACGUUCCCGGGCCUU
RNAcentral lists this ribosomal RNA (500 nucleotides) under uncultured Desulfobulbus sp. Its description in RNAcentral is "bacterial SSU rRNA". It matches the Rfam family "Bacterial small subunit ribosomal RNA", at positions 887 to 1382 of the family's 1533-position model. Lineage: Bacteria; Pseudomonadati; Thermodesulfobacteriota; Desulfobulbia; Desulfobulbales; Desulfobulbaceae. The record is from RNAcentral.